UGCCUUUAUGUGUUGCCCUUUCAUUGUUUCUCUAAUGAUCGGGGUGUCAAAUAAGGCAUACAGUGACACUUGUGGCUGCCUGUUGAAUGAGUUUCAAGUGACUCUUUUAAGCAAACAGCCGCAAGAACACAU
Molecule: small nucleolar RNA, 132 nt
Filed under: Sparus aurata (gilthead seabream)
Lineage: Eukaryota; Metazoa; Chordata; Actinopteri; Spariformes; Sparidae
Description: Small nucleolar RNA SNORA13 (ENSSAUG00010015653.1)
Rfam family: Small nucleolar RNA SNORA13
About the family: ACA13 is a member of the H/ACA class of snoRNA that guide the sites of modification of uridines to pseudouridines.
Source: Rfam by way of RNAcentral